RNAcentral lists this ribosomal RNA (615 nucleotides) under Verruconis gallopava. RNAcentral describes it as "LSU rRNA". It matches the Rfam family "Eukaryotic large subunit ribosomal RNA", at positions 38 to 667 of the family's 3401-position model. The record is from RNAcentral. Lineage: Eukaryota; Fungi; Ascomycota; Dothideomycetes; Venturiales; Sympoventuriaceae.
GCAUAUCAAUAAGCGGAGGAAAAGAAACCAACUGGGAUUGCCUCAGUAACGGCGAGUGAAGCGGCAACAGCUCAAAUUUGAAAUCUGGCGCCUUGGGCGUCCGAGUUGUAAUUUGUAGAGGGAGUCUCGGGUUAAGGGUCGGUCCAAGUGCCUUGGAACAGGAUACCGAAGAGGGUGAGAGUCCCGUAUCCGGCCGACGCCAGCGCCCGUGUGAGGCCCCUUCGACGAGUCGAGUUGUUUGGGAAUGCAGCUCUAAAUGGGUGGUAAAUUCCAUCUAAAGCUAAAUACUGGCCAGAGACCGAUAGCGCACAAGUAGAGUGAUCGAAAGAUGAAAAGCACUUUGAAAAGAGAGUCAAACAGUACGUGAAAUUGUUGAAAGGGAAGCGUAUGUGGGCAGACUUGGACGCUGGAUUCAGGCCGYCUUCUGGCGGGUGYAUUUUCCAGCGGACAGGCCAGCAUCGGUUCUGAGGGCCGGACAAAGACGAAGGGAAUGUGGCUCCUCUCUGGGGAGUGUUAUAGCCCGGCGUGCAAUGCGGCCACUUGGGACCGAGGACCGCGCAUUUUGCAAGGAUGCUGGCGUAAUGGCCUCAUACGGCCCGUCUUGAAACACGGACC